UACGUAGGGGGCAAGCGUUGUCCGGAUUUAUUGGGCGGAAAGAGCUCGUAGGUGGUUUGGUUAGUCGGAUGUGAAAUCUCCAGGCUCAACCUGGAGGGGUCAUUCGAUACUGCCAUGACUAGAGGUCGGUAGGGGAGUGUGGAAUUCCUGGUGGAGCGGUGAAAUGCGCAGAUAUCAGGAGGAACACCCGUAGCGAAGGCGGCACUCUGGGCCGAUACUGACACUGAGGAGCGAAAGCCAGGGGAGCAAACGGG
RNAcentral lists this ribosomal RNA (254 nucleotides) under uncultured bacterium. Its description in RNAcentral is "partial 16S ribosomal RNA". It matches the Rfam family "Bacterial small subunit ribosomal RNA", at positions 524 to 776 of the family's 1533-position model. The record is from RNAcentral.